Molecule: ribosomal RNA, 538 nt
Filed under: uncultured bacterium
Lineage: Bacteria
Description: bacterial SSU rRNA
Rfam family: Bacterial small subunit ribosomal RNA
Source: RNAcentral
GAAGCUUCUAAAGUGGCGCACGGGUGAGUAACGCGUGGGUAAUCUACCUUUGAAUUGGGGAUAACAUUGCGAAAGCGAUGCUAAUACCGGAUAAUAUCCAGGCAUUUUCGGAUGCCUGAAUCAAAGAUGGCCUCUACAUGUAAGCUAUUGUUUAAAGAUGAGCCCGCGUCCCAUUAGCUUGUUGGUAGGGUAAAGGCCUACCAAGGCGACGAUGGGUAGCUGGUCUGAGAGGAUGAUCAGCCACACUGGAACUGACACACGGUCCAGACUCCUACGGGAGGCAGCAGUGAGGAAUUUUGCGCAAUGGGCGAAAGCCUGACGCAGCAACGCCGCGUGAGUGAUGAAGGCUUUCGGGUCGUAAAGCUCUGUCAAGUGGGAAGAACCCGCAUUUGGCUAAUAUCCAUUUGCGCUGACGGUACCACUGAAGGAAGCACCGGCUAACUCCGUGCCAGCAGCCGCGGUAAUACGGGGGGUGCAAGCGUUACUCGGAAUCACUGGGCGUAAAGCGCGCGUAGGCGGUUUCGCAAGUCGGAUGUGA